GCACGUGAAACCCUGUCUGAAUCCACCGGGACCAUCCGGUAAGGCUAAAUACUAGUCAGUGACCGAUAGUGAACGAGUACAGUGAUGGAAAGGCGAAAAGAACAGUGAGAAGCUGAGUGAAAUAGACCCUGAAACCGUUAGCUUACAACCAGUCAGAGCACAAUUAAUUGUGUUAUGGCGUGCCUGUUGAAGAAUGAGCCGGCGAGUUAUUUUUUGUUGCGAGGUUAAGGAGAUCAUAUCCGGAGCCACAGGGAAACCGAGUCUGAAUAGGGCGUUAAGUAACAGGAAAUAGACCCGAACCUUGGUGAUCUAACCUUGACCAGGAUGAAGCGUGGGUAACACUACGUGGAGGUCCGAACCAACCGAUGUUGAAAAAUCGGUGGAUGAGUUGAGGUUAGGGGUGAAAUGCCAAUCGAACCAAGAGCUAGCUGGUUCUCCCCGAAAUGCGUUUAGGCACAGCGUUGGAUUUAUCUUGCAGGAGGUAGAGCACUGGUUUUGUGCGGGCGUCGAAAUGAUGUACCAAACAAUGUCAAACUCCGAAUACCUGUAAUGUCAUUAUCCAGCAGUGAGGCUAUGAGUGAUAAGAUCCAUGGCCAAGAGGGAAACAGCCCAGAACGCCAGUUAAGGUCCCUAAUAUAUGCUAAGUGGUUAAGGAGGUAGAGUUACUGAGACAACCAGGAGGUUGGCUUAGAAGCAGCCAUCCCUUGAAAGAGUGCGUAAUAGCUCACUGGUCAAGUGACUCCGCGCCGAAAAUACACCGGGACUAAAGCAUAUAACCGAAGCUGCGUCAUAUAGUUUACUAUAUGGGUAGGGGAGCGUACUGUAGUAAGACGAAGCUAGAGUGAAAACACUAGUGGAUGAGGCAGUAGUGAGAAUGUCGGCAUAAGUAGCGAAAACAUUGGUGAGAAUCCAAUGCACCGAAAACCUAAGGUUUCCCACGGCAGGCUCGUCCGCGUGGGGUUAGUCGGAUCCUAAGCUCAGGCCAAACGGCGUAGGCGAUGGACAAUAGGUUGAUAUUCCUAUACUAUCUGAUAAUCGUUAUCAGAAGCGGAGGGACGCAAGAGGAUAAGCACGCAGUCGAAUGGAAGAGACUGUAUAAGCGUGUAGCUAGGUUUGACAGGAAAAUCCGUCAAAUCGUUAAUGUGAGGCGUGAUGUGGAGAGUCUACGGACUUGAAGGUGUUGACUCCAAAUUGCCAAGAAAAUCUUCGCUCUCGAGAUUAUUGGGUAUCCGUACCGUAAACCGCCACAGGUAGGUUGGUAGAAAAUACUAAGGUGCGCGAGACAACUCUCGCUAAGGAACUCGGCAAAAUCACCUCGUAACUUCGGGAGAAGAGGUACCCUGGUAGCGUGAAGCGAUUUACUCGUGAAGCGUGAUAGGGUCGCAGUGAAUAGGCCCAAGCGACUGUUUACCAAAAACACAGGUCUCUGCUAAGUCGAUCAAGACGAUGUAUAGGGGCUGACGCCUGCCCGGUGUCGGAAGGUUACGCGGAAAUGUUAGAAGCAAUUCAAAGCAUCGAAGCUAAGCCCCGAUGAACGGCGGCCGUAACUAUAACGGUCCUAAGGUAGCGAAAUUCCUUGUCAGGUAAGUUCUGACCCGCACGAAUGGCGUAACGAUUUGGGCGCUGUCUCGGCGAGAGGCUCGGCGAAAUUGGAUUAUCCGUGAAGAUACGGAUUACGUGUACCAGGACAGAAAGACCCUAUUGAGCUUUACUGUAGCUUGAAAUUGAAUUCGGGUUCUCAUUGCGCAGUAUAGGUGGGAGACUAAGAAGCUUGAACUUUGGUUUAAGUGGAGUCAUCGUUGAGAUACCACUCUGUGAAAAUUUGGAUUCUAACCUUGAUCCCUCAAAGAACAGGGCAAGGGACAGUUUCUGGUAGGCAGUUUGACUGGGGCGGUCGCCUCCUAAAAAGUAACGGAGGCGUUCAAAGGUUCCCUCAGGUUGGUCGGAAAUCAACCGUUGAGUGCAAUAGCAAAAGGGAGCUUGACUGUGAGACCUACAAGUCGAGCAGGUACGAAAGUAGGAUAUAGUGAUCCGGUGGUUCUGCAUGGAAGGGCCAUCGCUCAUCGGAUAAAAGUUACCAUA
Molecule: ribosomal RNA, 2082 nt
Filed under: human gut metagenome
Description: bacterial LSU rRNA
Rfam family: Bacterial large subunit ribosomal RNA
Source: RNAcentral